Molecule: ribosomal RNA, 488 nt
Filed under: uncultured bacterium
Lineage: Bacteria
Description: SSU rRNA
Rfam family: Bacterial small subunit ribosomal RNA
Source: RNAcentral
AGAACGAACGUUGGCGGCGUGGAUUAGGCAUGCAAGUCGAACGAAUCCCAGGGGGUAACUCUCUGGGGAAGUGGCGAAAGGGGCAGUAAGGCGUGGGUAACCUACCCCGGGGAUCGGGAUAGCCAUUCUAACGAGUGGGUAAUACCGGGCGAUGCGGCGAGGAGGCAUCUCUUUGCCGUGAAAUGAGUUUCGCCUCGGGAGGGGCUCACGUAGUAUUAGCUUGUUGGUGAGGUAACGGCUCACCAAGGCCAAGAUGCUUAGCGGGUGUGAGAGCACGACCCGCGCCACUGGCACUGAGACACUGGCCAGACUCCUACGGGAGGCUGCAGUCGAGGAUCUUCGGCAAUGGGCGCAAGCCUGACCGAGCGACGCCGCGUGUGCGAUGAAGGCCUUCGGUUGUAAAGCACUGUCGAGGGGAGGAAGCUCCGCAAGGGGUUGACCGUAUCCCUGGAGGAAGCACGGGCUAAGUUCGCGCCAGCAGCCGCGGU